This 401-nucleotide ribosomal RNA is filed under the name uncultured Eubacteriales bacterium. RNAcentral's name for it is "bacterial SSU rRNA". It matches the Rfam family "Bacterial small subunit ribosomal RNA", at positions 355 to 774 of the family's 1533-position model. The record is from RNAcentral. Lineage: Bacteria; Bacillati; Bacillota; Clostridia; Eubacteriales.
UGGGGAAUAUUGCACAAUGGAGGAAACUCUGAUGCAGCGACGCCGCGUGAACGAUGAAGGCUUUCGAGUCGUAAAGUUCUGUCCUAGGGGACGAUAAUGACGGUACCCUAGGAGGAAGCCCCGGCUAACUACGUGCCAGCAGCCGCGGUAAUACGUAGGGGGCAAGCGUUGUCCGGAUUUAUUGGGCGUAAAGGGUACGCAGGUGGUUUUUUAAGUCAGAUGUGAAAUCUUACGGCUCAACCGUAAUCAGCAUUUGAAACUGGAAGACUUGAAUCAAGGAGAGGAAAGUGGAAUUCCUAGUGUAGCGGUGAAAUGCGUAGAUAUUAGGAGGAAUACCAGUGGCGAAGGCGACUUUCUGGACUUGUAUUGACACUGAGGUACGAAAGCGUGGGGAGCAAACA